UGCACAACAACACCAGACCUGGAUAUGGUCAUUUGUCUUCAGCAGACAGUGAGCGGGACGAAGUUUUCCCUGAUUAGUAAAUUUGUUUUCAGCAGACAGUGCAGGUCGCUGGAUUUUACUGUUACCAGCUGUUGUAUGGAGAUUGAUCAAUCAACACAUGUAGAGGAGAAAGAGGUAUAGGAGCUUACCAGGUAGUUGCUUGUUGCUUCAAGUGUUUAUAGAUACUUCUAUCGAAUAGGCAUACAUAGAACCCACCUCUCUCUCUUUCCUUCUGAUUUUGUGACACCACCUAAACUAUGUAUUGUCUUGUAUUUGUCUUAUGUUAUUACCUCAAAUCUAGGUUUUUUUUCUUUUUUUAAACCAGUUGUCUUUUUGUAUUCCCUAAUUGUAAAAUCAAGUUUUUUCCCUGAUGAGUUUUUUUUUUUUUUUUUCAUUUUAGAAUCAAAGAAAAAUUAUUUGGAUCUGUAAUCAACUCAGUUUGAUUAUUUUA
Molecule: long non-coding RNA, 490 nt
Organism: Brassica napus (rape)
Lineage: Eukaryota; Viridiplantae; Streptophyta; Magnoliopsida; Brassicales; Brassicaceae
Exons: 2
Source: RefSeq, a predicted model, not a curated record